UCAACAUAUGUAUAAUAGAAUAAAUAACAUUGAUAUCGUGUAUUUAUGUUUGCUAGUUAGAUAUAAAAAGUAGAUAUCUUGAUAUAGUUGUUUGAUACCAUAAAUUAAAACCUAGAGUAAUUGAUCAAAUUCUAAUUUUAGCCUUAGUAUAAAUUUAAAUAAUCAAACUAAAAAAAAACACACAAAUCAUGCACCCCCAAACUCUGAAACCCCACCCCAACACCAAAAGAGAAAGCUUCAGCGGCAGCGCCACAAUACCAUCGUAGCAACACCACCCCUAUCUUCCAACACCUAGAAGAAAAAACUUCAGUACCACCACCACAAUACCACCUCUCCCACCAUCUUCUCUCUGUCCAGAAAACCUUCAGCAGCAUUCAACACCACCGCCCCAACAACUAACACCACCUACCCCCUUCAGUAGCACCAGCACCACCCACCCAUCGUCCCCAACAACCAACACACAAGAAAUUACAGAAAUGGAAAGAGAAAUUCCCUCUAUUGUAGAAAGAGAAAUUACAUCAAUUACACAAAAAUUUCCAUACCUCGAGGAAUUCCAUCAAUUAUAUAAAAAAAAUUUAUAACGAGAAAAAAUCAUAGAAAUUACAGAAAGGCACGGAAAAUUGAGGAGGUGUGACAGAGACUCUCGAUGCGGCGGUGUGGCGUGACGGAGGCUUUCAAUUUCUUUGUGGGUGGUGGCGGCAAUGUCCAAUGCUAUCGCCGACUUUCUCCCCUCGCCUGAAUGGACAGCACCUUCGCUGCUAUGAACUUUCCUUCGGUUUUCGGCCAAAUUCAUGGUUGGUACCACCUCAAAUCCUGGCGAAGGCGGCCGUAAUUCCGGUAAGCGAAGAGCCGCCGCCUCACUCCUAGUACCUUACCUUCAACAAUUCUAUCGGGUCAUCGGUGUAGGAGGCAAAGGUUGUUUUUGUCUUUCAAAAUUUAAUCUAUAACAUUAUUGAGGUAUAGAAAAUGUAAUUGGGGGUGAAGGAGAGAUGUUAUUAACUAAG
This is a long non-coding RNA of Salvia miltiorrhiza (redroot sage), 1004 nucleotides long. RefSeq lists it as uncharacterized. The transcript has 2 exons. The record is from RefSeq and is a predicted model, not a curated record. Lineage: Eukaryota; Viridiplantae; Streptophyta; Magnoliopsida; Lamiales; Lamiaceae.